Molecule: long non-coding RNA, 1022 nt
Organism: Hemicordylus capensis (graceful crag lizard)
Lineage: Eukaryota; Metazoa; Chordata; Lepidosauria; Squamata; Cordylidae
Exons: 3
Source: RefSeq, a predicted model, not a curated record
CAGCACCACCACUGAAGAGAAAGCUCCAAAUUAGCAAAUUGCACUUAGGUAACUGAAUCGCAAAGCAGCACCAGGUGAGAUAAUUUACAAACAAGAGUCAAUAAGGAAGAUCAGGCCAAAGACUAUUUUCAACACCUUCAAAGUUCAGACCCAAUACUGAAGUGCCACUGAAGUCUGUUGGGAAAGCUUUGCUGAAGUAACUAUUGUUAUGUGGGAUGACAAAAUCAGGAGAACAAGAGAAGAAGCUUCAUUCUGGCACUGGAAGAGUGACUGAACCACAUCAGCAAUGAGUUGCAAGCCCAUAAAGAGAUGUUAUAAAUAAGCACAAGAAAGAAAGAAAGAAAGAAAGAAAGAAAGAAAGAAAGAAAGAAAGAAAGAAAGAAAGAAAGAAAGCAUCUGGCAGUCAGCAUGAAGGUCAAUACACAGUGCGUGCCAGGAGAUAUGCCAACCCCAGCAAUGGCAUUUGACAAAAUGUCAUUUUGAAUGGAUAAGUAUAGUGCUGACUUGUGUCUUUUGUCAGGCUGCUCCUCUUGACAGUGUGAUAUUUAUAGUCAAGGCCUCAAAAGAGAUGACUGGUACUCCCAGGGAAUUACAACUGGAGAGGUGGCCCAGCUUCUGCUGGCAAACAUAAAUAUUUGACGUGGUAGAGGGGGGCGGCUGAAAUGAUUUCCCGCUGGGCUAAGGAAAGGCAAGAAGGGCUCCCUGGGUGCCAAGUGAACCCCCUGCACAGGAUUCCCACUGUUUGUUCAUCCCUGCAGAAUGCAGACAUCCCAUACAGUGUCUGUGCCCUCAAAGAGGUUUUAAAUUUUAGACACAAGCAGUUUGUGAGCAGCAAGCUCUCAUUAAGGCCUGGACUGAGCUAUUAGCCACAGCAAAGAUAUGAAGUAACAAUUAAGUCAGUACAAAAGUUGUGAAUUGUGGCAAAAGCAACGGCAUCUAUCUCCCACUCUUCCUCUGACAAACGCAAAAGUGCAAGGCCUGUCCCCACCUUGCCCAUUGUGUGAAACAGCACUACUAAUAGU